AACGAACGCUGGCUGCAUGCCUAAUACAUGCAAGUCGAACGAGAUCUUCGGAUCUAGUGGCGCACGGGUGCGUAACGCGUGGGAAUCUGCCCUUGGGUUCGGAAUAACUUCUGGAAACGGAAGCUAAUACCGGAUGAUGACGUAAGUCCAAAGAUUUAUCGCCCAAGGAUGAGCCCGCGUAGGAUUAGGUAGUUGGUGAGGUAAAGGCUCACCAAGCCGACGAUCCUUAGCUGGUCUGAGAGGAUGAUCAGCCACACUGGGACUGAGACACGGCCCAGACUACUACGGGAGGCAGCAGUAGGGAAUAUUGGACAAUGGGCGAAAGCCUGAUCCAGCAAUGCCGCGUGAGUGAUGAAGGCCUUAGGGUUGUAAAGCGCAUUUACCCGGGAUGAUAAUGACAGUACCGGGAGAAUAAGCACCGGCUAACUCCGUG
Molecule: ribosomal RNA, 433 nt
Filed under: uncultured bacterium
Lineage: Bacteria
Description: partial 16S ribosomal RNA
Rfam family: Bacterial small subunit ribosomal RNA
Source: RNAcentral